Eurytemora carolleeae is the source of this 485-nucleotide long non-coding RNA. RefSeq lists it as uncharacterized. The transcript has 2 exons. The record is from RefSeq and is a predicted model, not a curated record. NCBI's taxonomy places the organism in Eukaryota, Metazoa, Arthropoda, Copepoda, Calanoida, Temoridae.
GGAUGGUCGGGUGUCCUAUCCAGAGUUCCUUGUGGUCUGGAAAUACAAAAAAUAAAUUUGUGAAUUUUCUUCUUCUUAUCAUUCCGGUUGUUUUUUGAUGUAGAUUAAGUACGCAUUUUUUGCGUCCAUUUCUGUAGAUUAAUGUGAAAUUGUGAAGUAUAUGUUAACCAUUUGUUUCAAAAAUGUUAUGCUGGGUUUUUUUCUAUUUUGGAAUUGUUGGUGUUUUUUGUUAUAAUGUUAGUCUUAUGUCAGAUCUGGUGGCAUCUGCCCAUAUUAACAAGCAUCCAACUUCAAGUCAAUAAUCAAGAAAAACAUGUUUAGAAAAAUAACUUUUCUGUGCCAAAACUGGUUUAAAUUCUUAUUGCAAAUGUUAUUAUUAAAUUCUAUGUGCUUCUGCCUUCUGUACUUAGGAAUAGUUUGUUUCUAAGUUUUAUUUAUAUAUAGAUGUGAUUUUAAUAUGAAAAUAAAGCAUGCAUAAAUCUUAA